UUUUCUGGUUGCAGCCUAAGCAAUUAGGCUGAUGGCUGGUGACUUUUUAGUCACCAGCCU
RNAcentral lists this small RNA (60 nucleotides) under Enterobacter hormaechei. RNAcentral's name for it is "Pseudomonas sRNA P26". It matches the Rfam family "Pseudomonas sRNA P26". Rfam says of the family: P26 is conserved across many Gammaproteobacteria species and appears to be consistently located between the DNA directed RNA polymerase (beta subunit) and 50S ribosomal protein L7/L12 genes. RNAcentral also lists the same sequence under 2 other names. The record is from RNAcentral. Lineage: Bacteria; Pseudomonadati; Pseudomonadota; Gammaproteobacteria; Enterobacterales; Enterobacteriaceae.